AUGAACGCUGGCGGCGUGCCUAAUACAUGCAAGUCGAGCGAACAGACGAUGAUCUUGCUCCUCUGACGUUAGCGGCGGACGGGUGAGUAACACGUGGAUAACCUACCUAUAAGACUGGGAUAACUUCGGGAAACCGGAGCUAAUACCGGAUAAUAUAUUGAACCGCAUGGUUCAAUAGUGAAAGACGGUUUUGCUGUCACUUAUAGAUGGAUCCGCGCCGCAUUAGCUAGUUGGUAAGGUAACGGCUUACCAAGGCAACGAUGCGUAGCCGACCUGAGAGGGUGAUCGGGCACACUGGAACUGAGACGCGGUCCUGACUCCUACGGGAGGCAGCAGUAGGGAAUCUUCCGCAAUGGGCGAAAGCCUGACGGAGCAACGCCGCGUGAGUGAUGAAGGUCUUCGGAUCGUAAAACUCUGUUAUUAGGGAAGAACAAAUGUGUAAGUAACUAUGCACGUCUUGACGGUACCUAAUCAGAAAGCCACGGCUAACUACGUG
This 496-nucleotide ribosomal RNA is filed under the name uncultured bacterium. RNAcentral's name for it is "partial 16S ribosomal RNA". It matches the Rfam family "Bacterial small subunit ribosomal RNA", at positions 29 to 507 of the family's 1533-position model. The record is from RNAcentral.